This 75-nucleotide transfer RNA is filed under the name Azonexus sp. RNAcentral describes it as "tRNA-His". It matches the Rfam family "tRNA". Rfam says of the family: Transfer RNA (tRNA) molecules are approximately 80 nucleotides in length. Their secondary structure includes four short double-helical elements and three loops (D, anti-codon, and T loops). The record is from RNAcentral. Lineage: Bacteria; Pseudomonadati; Pseudomonadota; Betaproteobacteria; Rhodocyclales; Azonexaceae.
UUGGCCGUAGCUCAGUGGCAGAGCGCGCGGUUGUGGCCCGCGAGGUCGCCGGUUCAAAACCGGCCGGUCAACCCA